Molecule: long non-coding RNA, 1100 nt
Filed under: Homo sapiens (human)
Lineage: Eukaryota; Metazoa; Chordata; Mammalia; Primates; Hominidae
Description: novel transcript
Source: RNAcentral
UGGCUGGGCCUUUGUCUCUCGCUCCCACCAGAGCUUGGAAUCCGUCUCUGCUCUUCUGCAUUCUCCACCUCGGGAGCCCCUGGGGACUCUGUGACGGCCUCUGUUGCCCUGUGAUCUGCAGGUCCGGAGAGACGCACAGCUAAGAUGUCAGGACAUCCUGGAAGCUGGGAAAGGGUCUUGCCAUCUCUAAGCUGGACCUGGUGACCUUUUUGGAGGGAAAGAAAGAGCCCUGGACUGUGAAGAGUGAGGAGACCAUAGCUGCACAGCCAGUCCAGAUGUAUAAUCUCAUCCCUGAACAUUUCUGAUGGUGUGAUUAUGACAUGUGACUUUAUCUGGCAACAGAGUGAGUUGUUGCUCCCGCCUGAGCCCAGCCCCCAGAAAGGAUUGUGACAUAUCGUUGGACCCAGAAUUGAGGCUCUGCAUAUUUGGGUAUUGUGACAUAUUGCUGAACUCAACACCUAAGGGAUGGGAGUCUCCUACCUAGGCCCUUCCUACAGGGGACAUUGUGACAUGUCUCUGCAUUCCUCAUCCAGGAGAUGUGACUCUCCUUUUCUGCCUACACCCUGCCUACACAGAAAGUUGUGGCAUAUUGCUGUGGUCAGCAACCAGAUGAUAUAUUUCUCCUGCCUGGGUCUUUAUUACAGGAAAGAUGAUUGACAUAUUACUGGGCCCAGCAUCCAGAUGAUGUGACUCUCUUCUUCUGUUGGUCCUUGCUUACAGGGAAACUGUAGCAUAUUGCUACACCCAACACCUAGCUUAUGUGAUUCUUCUUUUAGGUUUGCCUUCAGGGAACAUUGUGACAUAUUGCUGGGCCCUGCACUGAUAAUUUGUGACUCUUCUGCCUGUGAUUUGCCCACUUGGGGCAUUGUGACAUAUUGCUGGGUUUAACACUCAGGUGAUGUAACUUUUAUGCCUAGGCCUUGCUUACAGGAGGCAUUUUGAAAUGUCUUUGUGGCUGGGCAUGGUGGCUCAUGUCUGUAAUCCCAGCGCUUGGGGAGGCCAAGGUGGGCAGAUCACAAAGUCAGGAGUUCGAGACCAGCCUGGUCAACAUGGUGAAAACCUGUCUCUACUAAAACAAAACAAAACAAAACAAAACAAAA